Molecule: long non-coding RNA, 540 nt
Organism: Mesocricetus auratus (golden hamster)
Lineage: Eukaryota; Metazoa; Chordata; Mammalia; Rodentia; Cricetidae
Exons: 3
Source: RefSeq, a predicted model, not a curated record
CUCUGUUCAUGCCAAAAGAGUGCUAAACAAAAAUGAGAAUGCACAAGGACAGCAUAUAGUUUGAGGUUUUCUCCAUCUUUCAUUAGGUGAAGCUAAACUACUGACAUACUAGCAUUUUCAAGGUUCCACACUCAGUCUACAGCACGCCAGAGUGGAACUAACACAAAGAUGUACAACCGGACAAUAUGAAAGAACUAGACAUCUUGAAUGCUCAUUACUACAUGGGAAGUCUUCAUUAAAUAGCUUCCCUAACGGACCAGGGAGCUAUGUAUAAAGGAUGAAGAAACGUAGUAAAAGCCAGAGGUGAUGGAAAAUACCAAAGAAAUCUUACCUUUCAGAAAGAACAGGAUUGAUUUAAACAUGAACUCAUAGUUUGUGGCAGCAUGCACAAGAAGUUCAAGACAGAUGCAGUCCCAGAGGUAAGACUGGGAAGUAGACACAAGUUCCCAUUCCUCAGCAACAAGCCAUUUCCAAACAGCAACUACUUGGAAAGGAAAAAUAAACCAAUUAUGGGUAGACCCCAUGCCCCAUAGUAGAUGA